GCGUCCGUAGCUCAGUUGGUUAGAGCACCACCUUGACAUGGUGGGGGUCGGUGGUUCGAGUCCACUCGGAUGCACCA
RNAcentral lists this transfer RNA (77 nucleotides) under Escherichia coli. Its description in RNAcentral is "tRNA-Val(gac)". It matches the Rfam family "tRNA". From Rfam's summary of the family: Transfer RNA (tRNA) molecules are approximately 80 nucleotides in length. Their secondary structure includes four short double-helical elements and three loops (D, anti-codon, and T loops). The record is from RNAcentral. Lineage: Bacteria; Pseudomonadati; Pseudomonadota; Gammaproteobacteria; Enterobacterales; Enterobacteriaceae. RNAcentral also lists the same sequence under 3 other names.